AUUUGCGCAAUGGGCGAAAGCCUGACGCAGCAACGCCGCGUGAGUGAAGAAGGCCUUCGGGUCGUAAAGCUCUGUCAUAGGAGAAGAAGCGCUAUUAUAGAAAAUACGAUAGUAUGACGGUAUCCUAGGAGGAAGCCACGGCUAACUACGUGCCAGCAGCCGCGGUAAUACGUAGGUGGCGAGCGUUGUCCGGAAUUACUGGGCGUAAAGGGCGUGUAGGCGGUCUAGCAAGUCUAAUGUGAAACCCCAGGGCUUAACCUUGGGCAUGCAUAAGAAACUGCAGGACUUGAGGGCAAGAGAGGAAAGUGGAAUUCCUAGUGUAGCGGUGAAAUGCGUAGAUAUUAGGAGGAACACCGGUGGCGAAGGCGACUUUCUGGAUUGUCCCUGACGCUGAGGCGCGAAAGCGUGGGGAGCAAACAGGAUUAGAUACCCUGGUAGUCCACGCCGUAAACGAUGGGUACUAGGUGUUGGAGGUAUCGACCCCUUCAGUGCCGGAGCAAACGCAAUAAGUACCCCGCCUGGGGAGUACGGCCGCAAGGCUGAAACUCAAAGGAAUUGACGGGGGCCCGCACAAGCGGCGGAGCAUGUGGUUUAAUUCGACGCAACGCGAAGAACCUUACCAGGGCUUGACAUCCCUUGACGCUUGUAGAGAUACAAGUUUCCUUUUAGGACAAGGAGACAGGUGGUGCAUGGUUGUCGUCAGCUCGUGUCGUGAGAUGUUGGGUUAAGUCCCGCAACGAGCGCAACCCCUGUUCUUAGUUGCCAGCAUUAAGUUGGGCACUCUAAGGAGACUGCCGGUGACAAACCGGAGGAAGGUGGGGAUGACGUCAAAUCAUCAUGCCCCUUAUGUCCUGGGCUACACACGUGCUACAAUGGUCGGUACAGAGGGCAGCAAAGCUGCGAAGCGGAGCGAAUCCCAAAAAGCCGAUCACAGUUCGGAUUGCAGGCUGCAACUCGCCUGCAUGAAGUCGGAAUCGCUAGUAAUCGCAGGUCAGCAUACUGCGGUGAAUAC
Molecule: ribosomal RNA, 1012 nt
Filed under: uncultured Bacillota bacterium
Lineage: Bacteria; Bacillati; Bacillota
Description: bacterial SSU rRNA
Rfam family: Bacterial small subunit ribosomal RNA
Source: RNAcentral